RNAcentral lists this non-coding RNA (29 nucleotides) under Homo sapiens (human). The record is from RNAcentral. Lineage: Eukaryota; Metazoa; Chordata; Mammalia; Primates; Hominidae.
UGCAGUCUAGUCUAGGGUGACAUUGUUUA